GAUGAACGCUGGCGGCGUGCCUAAUACAUGCAAGUCGAGCGAACAGACGAGAAGCUUGCUCCUCUGAUGUUAGCGGCGGACGGGUGAGUAACACGUGGAUAACCUACCUAUAAGACUGGGAUAACUUCGGGAAACCGUAGCUAAUACCGGAUAAUAUUUUGAACCGCAUGGUUCAAAAGUGAAAGACGGUUUUGCUGUCACUUAUAGAUGGAUCCGCGCUGCAUUAGCUAGUUGGUAAGGUAACGGCUUACCAAGGCAACGAUGCAUAGCCGACCUGAGAGGGUGAUCGGCCACACUGGAACUGAGACACGGUCCAGACUCCUACGGGAGGCAGCAGUAGGGAAUCUUCCGCAAUGGGCGAAAGCCUGACGGAGCAACGCCGCGUGAGUGAUGAAGGUCUUCGGAUCGUAAAACUCUGUUAUUAGGGAAGAACAUAUGUGUAAGUAACUAUGCACGUCUUGACGGUACCUAAUCAGAAAGCCACGGCUAACUACGUG
RNAcentral lists this ribosomal RNA (497 nucleotides) under uncultured bacterium. RNAcentral describes it as "partial 16S ribosomal RNA". It matches the Rfam family "Bacterial small subunit ribosomal RNA", at positions 28 to 507 of the family's 1533-position model. The record is from RNAcentral.